UUUUGAAAAUGUUAUCUUUUUUUAUUAUUAAAAACUAGAGUAGUUGAUAGAACAAUUAAACAAUUGCACAUGAGAUGUCAUGUUUACCUCAUAUUGCCGUAUAAAGAUCAAUUUUUAACAACAAAAUCAGAUAGAAUUUUAAUAA
RNAcentral lists this microRNA precursor (145 nucleotides) under Gossypium arboreum. RNAcentral's name for it is "MIR7502 microRNA precursor family". It matches the Rfam family "MIR7502 microRNA precursor family". Lineage: Eukaryota; Viridiplantae; Streptophyta; Magnoliopsida; Malvales; Malvaceae. The record is from Rfam by way of RNAcentral.